AUUGAACGCUGGCGGCAUGCUUUACACAUGCAAGUCGAACGGUAACAGGCCGCAAGGUGCUGACGAGUGGCGAACGGGUGAGUAAUGCAUCGGAACGUGCCCAGUCGUGGGGGAUAACUACUCGAAAGAGUAGCUAAUACCGCAUACGAUCUAUGGAUGAAAGCGGGGGACCGUAAGGCCUCGCGCGAUUGGAGCGGCCGAUGUCAGAUUAGGUAGUUGGUGGGGUAAAGGCUCACCAAGCCCACGAUCUGUAGCUGGUCUGAGAGGACGACCAGCCACACUGGGACUGAGACACGGCCCAGACUCCUACGGGAGGCAGCAGUGGGGAAUGUUGGACAAAGGGCGCAAGCCUGAUCCAGCAAUGCCGCGUGCAGGAAGAAGGCCUUCGGGUUGUAAACUGCUUUUGUACGGAACGAAACGGCUCUGGUUAAUACCCGGGGCUAAUGACGGUACCGUAAGAAUAAGCACCGGCUAACUACGUG
RNAcentral lists this ribosomal RNA (482 nucleotides) under uncultured bacterium. RNAcentral describes it as "partial 16S ribosomal RNA". It matches the Rfam family "Bacterial small subunit ribosomal RNA", at positions 30 to 507 of the family's 1533-position model. The record is from RNAcentral.